UGAGGAAUAUUGCGCAAUGGUCGCAAGACUGACGCAGCAACGCCGCGUGAGGGAUGAAGUACUUCGGUAUGUAAACCUCUGUUAGAAGGGAAGAACGGGUGGAUGUCGAACAGGCAUUCAUCGUGACGGUACCUUCAGAGAAAGCCCCGGCUAACUCCGUGCCAGCAGCCGCGGUAAUACGGGGGGGGCAAGCGUUGUCCGGAAUUAUUGGGCGUAAAGGGCGCGUAGGUGGGACAGCAAGUCUGGGGUGCAAUCGUACGGCUUAACUGUAAGCGUGCCCUGGAUACUACUGUUCUUGAGUUCGGAAGAGGGUAGUGGAAUUCCUGGUGUAGCGGUGAGAUGCGUAGAUAUCAGGAAGAACACCGGUGGCGAAGGCGGCUACCUGGUCCGAUACUGACACUGAGGCGCGAAAGUGCGGGGAGCAAACAG
RNAcentral lists this ribosomal RNA (429 nucleotides) under uncultured bacterium. RNAcentral's name for it is "bacterial SSU rRNA". It matches the Rfam family "Bacterial small subunit ribosomal RNA", at positions 355 to 775 of the family's 1533-position model. The record is from RNAcentral.